Molecule: long non-coding RNA, 292 nt
Organism: Sinocyclocheilus grahami
Lineage: Eukaryota; Metazoa; Chordata; Actinopteri; Cypriniformes; Cyprinidae
Exons: 3
Source: RefSeq, a predicted model, not a curated record
AAAUCGAGGCAGGUCAGACGCUUUCAAAGAGCUACUCCACCUGGAUCAUUGCGAGGAAGUCCGGCGAAGUCCAGAGUGGGCAUUGUACCUGCAUGGCAGGGCCGAUCCACAACCAGUAGCUCAGUGCGAUUUCUUGAAACCUGGCAAAAAGAUCAAGCUACCAGCUCCCCUCUGCCUUCCCUCUCUAAAUCCAGAUGGGUCACCAAAAAAGCUUUUUAAAGCCCUGAAAAUGCUGGUACAUGAAGACGGACACAUUUGUUGGCAAAAUAUUCAGGAAAAUUUAAGCCUCUAU